UGAAAGCUGGCACCUCCGGGGCCCGCUUUGUAAUCUCGAGACGUGUUUUCCGUGCGGCUCUAUGGCCAAGUCCCUUGGAAUAGGGCUUCGAAAAGGGUGAGAUUCCCGUACUUGCCAUGGAAAAACCGUGCUUUGCGAUACACGCUCUAAGAGUCGAGUUGUUUGGGAUUGCAGCUCAAAAUGGGUGGUAGACUCCAUCUAAAGCUAAAUAUCGGGGAGAGACCGAUAGCGAACAAGUACCGUGAGGAAAAGAUGAAAAGCACUUUGGAAAGAGAGUUAAAAGUACGUGAAAUUGUCGAAAGGGAAGCACUUGAAGUCAGCCAUGCUGC
This 329-nucleotide ribosomal RNA is filed under the name Malassezia globosa. Its description in RNAcentral is "LSU rRNA". It matches the Rfam family "Eukaryotic large subunit ribosomal RNA", at positions 116 to 441 of the family's 3401-position model. Lineage: Eukaryota; Fungi; Basidiomycota; Malasseziomycetes; Malasseziales; Malasseziaceae. The record is from RNAcentral.